RNAcentral lists this non-coding RNA (21 nucleotides) under Caenorhabditis elegans. The record is from RNAcentral. Lineage: Eukaryota; Metazoa; Nematoda; Chromadorea; Rhabditida; Rhabditidae.
UCGGUGGACUUUCUUAAAAUA